CGGCGAGUGAAGCGGGAAAAGCUCGAAUUUAAAAUCUGGCGGUCUUUGGCCGUCCGAGUUGUAAUCUGGAGAAGCGUUUUCCGCGUCGGACCGUGUACAAGUCUCCUGGAACGGAGCGUCAUAGAGGGUGAGAAUCCCGUCUUUGACACGGACUGCCGAUGCUAUGUGAUGCGCUCUCAAAGAGUCGAGUUGUUUGGGAAUGCAGCUCAAAAUGGGUGGUAAAUUCCAUCUAAAGCUAAAUAUUGGCGAGAGACCGAUAGCGAACAAGUACCGUGAGGGAAAGAUGAAAAGAACUCUGGAAAGAGAGUUAAACAGUACGUGAAAUUGUUGAAAGGGAAACGCUUGAAGUCAGUCGCGUCUGCUGGGGAUCAACCUUGCUCCUUUGCUUGGUGUACUUCCUAGUUUGACGGGUCAGCAUCGGUUAUGAUUGCUGGAAAAAGGGUGGAGGAAUGUGGCAUCUUCGGGUGUGUUAUAGCCUCUGCUCUCAUACAGCGGUUGGGACCGAGGAACUCAGCACGCCUUUUUGGCCGGGGUUCGCCCACGUACGUGCU
RNAcentral lists this ribosomal RNA (551 nucleotides) under uncultured Hypochniciellum. RNAcentral describes it as "eukaryotic LSU rRNA". It matches the Rfam family "Eukaryotic large subunit ribosomal RNA", at positions 87 to 615 of the family's 3401-position model. The record is from RNAcentral. Lineage: Eukaryota; Fungi; Basidiomycota; Agaricomycetes; Corticiales; Corticiaceae.